UCUGAAAGCUUAUGUAGUGUAAAUUGUGUCUUGGAAAUUAUAUUCCAGAUCUCACUGUUCAAGAUCAGUUUGUAAUAUAACAUUAGAAAGCAGAUACAUAGAAUCAAACUUCCUGCUCAUAUAAGAUUUCAGAGGAAGAUGAAGACUGCGCAAGAAGCAAGUGUCUCACCACGUUGGAAAUCAAACUUUUUAACUACUUGAAAGGAUCAAGGCCAAACUAAAGAGCCUCCUGUGACUUGCAGAACAUUAAAGCCCAUAACCGCUGGGACUGAUUUUAGAACUUGGUCUGCCAGUAGCUUACAGUGUAGAAAGGUGUGCUUCUCUCUCUUUCUUGGAUAGAGUUAGAGGCAAUGCCUGAUACCCAGCCAAGAUGGACAAAGGACAAGGA
Molecule: long non-coding RNA, 388 nt
Filed under: Anas platyrhynchos platyrhynchos (common mallard)
Lineage: Eukaryota; Metazoa; Chordata; Aves; Anseriformes; Anatidae
Description: lncRNA (ENSAPLG00000026989.1)
Source: RNAcentral